RNAcentral lists this unclassified non-coding RNA (345 nucleotides) under uncultured fungus. Its description in RNAcentral is "partial contains small subunit ribosomal RNA, internal transcribed spacer 1, and 5.8S ribosomal RNA". The stretch from base 1 to 73 matches the Rfam family "Eukaryotic small subunit ribosomal RNA", at positions 1759 to 1831 of the family's 1831-position model. The record is from RNAcentral. Lineage: Eukaryota; Fungi.
UCAAACUUGGUCAUUUAGAGGAAGUAAAAGUCGUAACAAGGUUUCCGUAGGUGAACCUGCGGAAGGAUCAUUAAUGAAAAAAUGGCGGCCUAUAAUUUGGGCUGUUCAUCAGUUCUAUUGUGAUACUAUUGAAGCAUAAUAUCAGGGCUUAAAGAUGGGGUUUUUGAAAAGUGAGUUUUGGCUUUGUAAUGAGGCCUUAAACUUCUUUUUGAGAAAACCGGCCCUGAUUUAUUUUAAAUAAGCCAAUUUUGACCCUUUUUGACUGAAAAAAAAAAAGAAUUUAAUAAUUCAAAAAUAACUUUCAACAACGGAUCUCUUGGUUCUCGCAUCGAUGAAGAACGCAGC